Molecule: ribosomal RNA, 255 nt
Filed under: uncultured bacterium
Lineage: Bacteria
Description: partial 16S ribosomal RNA
Rfam family: Bacterial small subunit ribosomal RNA
Source: RNAcentral
GACGUAGGUGGCAAACGUUAUCCGGAAUUAUUGGGCGUAAAGGGUGCGUAGGCGGCCAAAUAAGUUAGUGGUGGUAAAUUAGAGCUUAACUCUACGGAAGCUGCUAAUACUGCUUGGCUUUGAGGACAGGAGAGGUUAACGGAAUCCUCUGUGGAGCGGUGAAAUGCAUAGAUAUAGGGGAGAACACCAAAAGGCGAAGGCAGUUAACUAUUCUGUUCCUGACGCUGAGGCACGAAAGCGUGGGGAGCGAAAAGG